UACGGAGGGUGCUAGCGUUGUUCGGAAUCACUGGGCGUAAAGGGCGUGUAGGCGGUCUGUUAAGUCUGAUGUGAAAUCCCCUCGCUCAACGAGGGAACUGCGUCGGAUACUGGCAGACUUGAGUACCGGAGAGGAAGGUGGAAUUCCCGGUGUAGCGGUGAAAUUCGUAGAUAUUCGGAAGAACACCAGUGGCGAAGGCGACUUACUGGACACAUAUUGACGCUGAGGUGCGAAAGCGUGGGGAGCAAACAGG
This 253-nucleotide ribosomal RNA is filed under the name uncultured bacterium. RNAcentral describes it as "partial 16S ribosomal RNA". It matches the Rfam family "Bacterial small subunit ribosomal RNA", at positions 524 to 776 of the family's 1533-position model. The record is from RNAcentral.